Homo sapiens (human) is the source of this 593-nucleotide long non-coding RNA. Ensembl annotates it as ULK4 pseudogene 3. Its record names the gene ULK4P3. Lineage: Eukaryota; Metazoa; Chordata; Mammalia; Primates; Hominidae. The record is from Ensembl.
ACAUAGCUCCCGCCAAGUCCUCGGUGCCCCUUGCCAUUUUCCAGCCGCGCUCCCACGAGGGUCACGGCGGCGGGGAGAGGUGGAGCCGCGAGAGCUCGGCCGGGGGCCCCGCCUGGUGGUCGCGGCCAUGACAGCGGCUCGGGACUGGCUCCUUUUCCGCGCCCCUCCCGCCGGAGGUGAGGGGAAGAUGUCCAUGUCCGGGUUCAAGGGCAAACCGAAGUUACUGGCCUCUAUCUUCCAGGAGAACCAGGAGCCACAGCCGCGGCUCACGCCCCACCGCAACAUUAAGAUUACAAGUGGACACCUGAGUCAGCAGGACCUGGAAUCCCAGAUGAGAGAGCUUAUCUACACGACUCAGAUCUUGUUGUCACCCCCAUUAUUGACAAUCCAAAGGUGCAGAAAGCACUCUGACAAAUGGGCCAAGGUUGCUCGGGUGAUUGGUUUACUGGCUUCGCACAAAACUGAUCUCCAGGAAAAUACACCUGUUGUUGAGGCCUUCCCUAACAGUCCCAGAACUCCUACAUUGCCUGGUGUGCUGACCUAAAGCCCUCAUUAAGACCAGUAACAAAUCAAGCCUAUCUUAUCAACUGACA